This 497-nucleotide ribosomal RNA is filed under the name uncultured bacterium. Its description in RNAcentral is "partial 16S ribosomal RNA". It matches the Rfam family "Bacterial small subunit ribosomal RNA", at positions 28 to 507 of the family's 1533-position model. The record is from RNAcentral.
GAUGAACGCUGGCGGCGUGCCUAAUAUAUGCAAGUCGAGCGAACGGACGAGAAGCUUGCUUCUCUGAUGUUAGCGGCGGACGGGUGAGUAACACGUGGAUAAUCUCCCUAUAAUACUGGGAAAACUUCGGGAAACCGGAGCUAAUCCCGGAUAAUAUUUUGAACCGCAUGGUUCAAAAGAGAAAGACGGCCUUGCUGUAUCUAAUAGAGGGUUCCGCGCUGCAUUAGCUGGUUGUUAAGGUAACGGCUUACCAAGGCAACGAUGCAUAGCCGACGUGAGAGGGUGAUAGGCCACACUGGAGGUGAGACACGGACCAGACUCCUGAGGGAGGCAGCAGUAGGGAAUCGUAGGCAGUAGGCGAAAGCCUGACGGAGCAACGCCGCGUGAGUGAUGAAGGUCUUCGGAUCGUAAAACUCUGUUUUUGGGGAAGAACAUAUGUGUAAGUAACUGUACACAGCUUGACGGUACCUAAUCAGAAAGCCACGGCUAACUACGUG